This 179-nucleotide ribosomal RNA is filed under the name Acinetobacter baumannii. RNAcentral's name for it is "partial 16S ribosomal RNA". It matches the Rfam family "Bacterial small subunit ribosomal RNA", at positions 1 to 177 of the family's 1533-position model. Lineage: Bacteria; Pseudomonadati; Pseudomonadota; Gammaproteobacteria; Moraxellales; Moraxellaceae. The record is from RNAcentral.
UUUAACUGAAGAGUUUGAUCAUGGCUCAGAUUGAACGCUGGCGGCAGGCUUAACACAUGCAAGUCGAGCGGGGGAAGGUAGCUUGCUACUGGACCUAGCGGCGGACGGGUGAGUAAUGCUUAGGAAUCUGCCUAUUAGUGGGGGACAACAUCUCGAAAGGGAUGCUAAUACCGCAUACG